AAAUGCCUGGUCAACCACCUUCAAAGACUCAAGUCUGACUCCUUCUCUCAAGUGGCAGCAGUAGCUAAGCUCUGGGUUCAAAUUUCGUUCUUGCUGGAUGACAUGGGGCAAGUUACUUAACCUCUCUGUGCUUCAGAUGUAAAGCCAGGAUAAUAGCAGUACCUACUUCAUGGGAUUGUUAUGAGGAUUAAGUGAGUUAAUGUUUACAACACGUUUAGCUUAAUACCUGGCACAUGGCAAUCACCCAGUAAAUGUAAGUUGUUACUACCAGCUCCAUGGAGCUGCUCAGAGAUGCAAUUUUAUAGUCCGUGGAAUGUGUUUGAAGCAGGGUCUGGCAUACAAUAAUACUGCACUCUUUGUGGGAGUUUAAUAAAUAAUAAAGUGGCUUUUCUUGCCUCUUGGUUAAGAGAACAUCUGUGACAUUCAAACAGACCUAAGUAAUGUGAGCAAUCAAAUUACCAAACUCCUUUGGGGCAAACAUUUGGAAAUGGCAGAUGAAAAGACUGAGGCAGAGAAGCCCUUGGCCUGUUCCGGGAGCAGCAGGAGACAAACUGUAGUUAGGCUGGAGAGUUGAGGAAAUCAGAAGUUUGGAAAGUAGCAGGAGGCCAGAUCACCCACGGCCCUGUAGGACAGGGUGACAUUUUCGGACUGUGCAUUUUAUUUACUUUUUAUCUAUUUAAUGUAACUUAAUUUAAAGUUCUAGAACACAUGAGCAGGAUGUGCAGGUUUGAUGCAUAGGUAAAUAAAUGUGUGCCACGGUGGUUUGCUGCACCUAUCAAUCCUUCACUUUGAUAUUAAGCCCCACACGUUUUAGCCAUUCUUUCUAAUGCUCUCCCUCCCUCCACUUCCCUCAACAGGCCCCAGUGUGUGUUGUUCCCCUCCCUGUGUCCGUCCACGUGUUCUCUUAUCCUUCAACUCCCACUUAUAAGUGAGAACAUGUAGUGUUUGGUUUUCUGUCCCUGUGUUAGUUUGCUAAGGAUGAUGACUUCCAGUUCCAUCCACGUUCCUGCAAAGGACGUGAUCUCGUCCCUUUUUGUGGCUGCACAGUAGUCCCUGGUGUAUAUGUACCACACUUUCUUUAUCUGAUCUGUCAUUGAUGAGCAUUUGGGUUGACUCCAUGUCAUUGCUAUUGUGAAUAGUGCUACGAUGAACAUAUGCAUCAUGUAUCUUUAUAAUAGAAUGAUUUAUAUUCCUUUGGGUAUAUAACCAGUAAUGAGAUUGCUGGGUCAAAUGAUAUUUUUGGUUCUAGUUCUUUGAGGAAACCCCACACUGUCUUCCACAAUGGUUGAUCUAAUUUACAUUCCCACCAACAGUGUAAGUGUUCCUAUUUCUCCACAGCCUCACCAGCAUCUGUUGACCUUUUAAUAAUUGCCAUUCUGACUGGCAUGAGAUAGUAUCUCAUUGUGGUUUUGGUUUGCCUAUUUCUAAUGAUCAGUGGUGUUGAACUUUUUUUCAUGUUUGUUGGCCAUAUAAAUGUCUUCUUUUAAGAAAUGUCUGUUCAUGUCCAUUGCCCACUUUUUAAUGGGGUCAUUUGUUUCUUUCUCAUACAUUAGUUUAAGUUCCUUGAAGAUUCUGGAUAUUAGAACUUUGUCAAAUGGAUAGAUGUGAAAAUUCUCAUUUUGUAGAUUGUCUAUUCACUCUGAUGAUAGUUUCUUUUGCUGUGCAGAAGUUCCUGAGUUUAAUUAGAUCCCAUUUGUCAUUUUUGUUUUUAUUGCAAUUGCUUUUGACAUUUUCAUUAUGAAAUCUUUGCCCAUGCCUAUGUACUGAAUGGUAUUGCUUAGAUUUUCUUCUAGGACUUUUAUAGUUUUGGGUUUUACAUUUAAAUCUUUAAUCCAUCUUGAGUAUUAUGUCUAAAUAAGGUGUAAGGAAGGGAUCCAAUUUCAAUUUUCUGCCUAUGGCUAAGCCAUUUUUCCCAGCACCAUUUAUUAAAUAGGAAAUCCUUUCCCCAUUGCUUGUUUUUGUCAGGUAUGUCAAAAAUCGAAUGGUUGUAGAUGUGAGGUCUUAUUUCUGAGAUCUCUAUUAUGUUUCUUUGGUCUAUGUGUCUGUAUUUGUAUUUUAUUUUUAACCCAUUCAUGUAUAUUUUAUUUUUAACCCAUUCAAGGUCACCAAAAGACUUGAUCUGGUAUAUUAUUUUAAAGGCUCAAUCUGGCAUUGGUAUUGAGAAUAAAUUGUAGGAGGAUAAGGAUGGAGAACAGCUAGUAGCAGUAACACAGAUGGCAAAGGAAAAAAGAAGGUGGAUUCUGAAUAUAGUUUGAAGGUAGCAGCAGCUGGAUUUGCUGAUGAAUUGGAUGUAGUAUUUGCAAGAAAGAGAUGAGUCAAAGAUGAUACCAAGAUUUUUUAUAUGUGUAACUGACCAAAGGAAAGAACUCACUGCACUAUGGAGCUAUGGGAAAACAGGAGGUAAAGUAGAUUUGGUCUUGGGAAGAGGAAUAAAUCACGAAUUCCGUUUUUGAUGUGCUAAGUUUGAGAUGCCUAUUAGCCCCGAACAGGAGGCAUCAAGUAGCCACUUGGGUAUAAGCAUCUGGAGUUUGGGCAAGGUAUUAAUGCUGGGGGCAAUAAUGAGGGAGGCUUUAGCUUUGGACAGUUUUUAAAGCCAAGAGCAUACAUAAAAUCCUGUGAAGAGUGUGUGCAGAAACAAAAGAAGAGUUUCAGAGUGUCAGCCAUGAGCCAGUCCUCUAGCAGAGGCCAGAAAGAUGAGAGAGCCUCAUCAAAGAGAACUGGGGGAGGGUAACCCCUGAGACAAGAGAAAAGGUACCCUGAAAGUUAUUAAUGAUAUUGACAAGAGGAAUCAUUUUAGAGGAACGAUGAGGACAAAGCCCAUUUAUAGUAGGUUCAGGAGACUAUGUGAGAAGAGAGGUGGUAUCAGUAAGUUAGCUGGAGUUUGUGUAUGUGGAGAGUUUUUCUGUAAAAUGGAAGAGAGAAAUAAAGCCAUGGCUAGAGGAUGCUGGGCAGUCAGGAGAGAGUAUUUUGUUCUGAGGUGAGAUUAUCACAGUGUGUUUGUGGGAUGCUGGGAUGACCAAGUAGGCAAGCAACAAUUGACAAUGUGCCAGUAAUUUCCCUCAGCCCGCUGAGCUCAAGAGAUCCUCCUGCCUUGGUCUCCCGAGUAGCUGGGACUACAGGUGUGCACCACUGUGGGCCUGGCUAGUUUUUUAUUUAUUUAUUUUGUAGCAACAGGGUUUCGCCAUGUUGCCCAGGCUGGUCUCGAACUUCUGGACUCAUAUAUUGGUGAGAGGUAUCCAAAGCACAGGUGAGAGUGUGGGUAGGAGCUCCACCACCUCACAGAAGAAAGACGAAAAACACAGCUCUCAGGGUUAGGAGGUUCAUGGAUUUGGUGAUGAUGACAUAUGGAUGUCCUUUUCUGCUGCUUCUCAGUGAAAUGAGAAAAAAAAAAGUCAUCUUCUGAGAGUGGGUGGGUGCUGGUAAACCUGGAAGGAGACCAGGAGAGCACAUGGACUGUGGAUUAUCAGGGUGUCAUCAAAUGGUCAGGAAUUUUUUUUAAAGGUCAGUUAGUACGUUGUGUUCUUUUCCCCACUGCUUAAAUAAAGGGUGAAAGUGAGAAGAGCUGGGUUUGCCAGGGUUGAAGUUUGAUGCAUGUACUUGUGUUCUAGGAUUACCAUAAUAAAGUGCCACAACUGGGUGGCUUAAACAACAGAAACAUAUCGUCUCACAGGCCUGGAGGCUGGAAGUCCAAAAUCCAGGUGUCAUCAGACUGAUUUCUUCUGAGACCUCUUCCCUUGGCUUGUAAGUGGCUGUCUUCUCACUCUGUCUUCAUGUGGUCUUCCCUCAGAACUCCUGUGUGUCCAAUUUUCCUCUUUUUAUAAGAACACCAGUCAUACUGAAUUUGGGUUCACUUUAACGACCUCAUUUUAACAUAAUUAUCUCUUUCAAGCGAUUACCCUGUCUUCAAAUACAGUCAUAUUCUAAGGUCCUGAGGGUUAGGAUUUCAACAUACGAAUUUGCGGGGUACACCAUUCAGCCUCUAACACCAGUAAGUAUUAUGGAGAAAAAAAAUCAAGGAGGUAUAGACUUUAAGCAAAGAUGGGUUUUGUUUUGGGUUUUGUGGGUUGCUUUGUUUCUGUUUUUUGUUCUUUGUUCUUUGGUGGGGUUUUGUUGUUGCUUUUUGGGGUUUUUUUUUUUGAGACAGGGUAUUGCUCUGUCACCCAAGCUCUGGAUGCAGUGCUGAGAUCAUGGCUCACUGCAGCCUCAAACUCCUGGGCUCAAGUGAUCCUACUGCCUCAUUCCCCCAAGUAGCUGGGACUACAGGUAUGCACCACUACACCUGGCUAACUUUUUGUAUUUUUUCAUAGAGAUGGGGUUUUACCAUGUUGUCCAGGCUGAUUUCAAACUCCUGGAUUCAAGCCAUUCACUCUCCUCAAGGAUGAGAUUUUAAUAAUGAUCCAUUGCAUCUAAGUCCCACAGAAACUGAAGUGAGGGCAAAAGGAGGGUGAGAGAUCACGAAAAGAUGGGAGAGCUCAUGGCUGGAAGGUCCUGAAGGGACCAAAGAGUUGAUACAAGAAGAUAACAUUUGUACUUGAGUGCUUUCAUAGGCAAUGCAGACUCACUGUGUUCAAAACUGAACUGUUGAUCUUUCUGUCAAACCAGCUCCUCUUCUGGUCUUUGGCAUUUCCAUGAAAAGAGCCAACAUCUCCCUCAGUUACUCAAGCUAGAAAUUUCAGUCUUUCACUCUUCCCUCCCCCUUAUCCCACAUAUCCACAUAGACAUUGGUUCCUACUGCCUGAAAAUUAUUCAUUAAAUAACCAUUUUCUUCAUCUCCACUACCACCAACUUAGUCCAAGAGAAAGUUCACCUCCUCUCUCACUCAGGAAGAGCUUCCCCGCCAUCCUCCCCAAUCCACUCUUUCCACCUUCCUCCAUGUAUUGUCUACACCACAGCCAGGCUGGUGGGGUUUUUUUUUUUUUCCAAGCUACCCCUUUUAAAGACAUAAAUUUUACAACAUAAUUCUGGCUCCCUCCCCUCUUGCUCUGGCAAGUAGCCUGUCGGUCAGCCUGGGUCUGCUUCUCCAGCUGCCAUGAGAACCUCUGUCCCCGACAACUCCUAUGCGUCUUCACUCUUGCUGGCCUUCUCUCUGCCCCCAACCAGCCCAAGCUCUCCUCUUCCUCUGGGCCUUCACAGAUGUCAUGCCCUCACCCUGCUUAUUCCUACUGCCCCUUCGUGUCUCAGCUCUAAUGCAACAUCCUCAGGAAGCUUUUUCUAACCCCACUCAGCUCCCAAGCUAGGUUCUAUCUGCAAUUUGUUGUACACACUUCUCGCUGAAUAACAUAGAUGCCAGCAGAUCUCCUGAGACAAUGCCUAUCUCAGAGGCUCUGGUCUAGACCACCUAGCCCAGGAAUGCACACUCUGAGAAUUUUUUUUGAGGUGUUUCCUCCUCAGGAGACCGGAAGUUUGCACAAGGCUAGGUUGACAGCAAUUGAAAUUUAUUCUUUUAGUACCCUGAAAUCAAGUUGAUGUCUAUAAAUGCUGGCGGAACAAACCGGUUUGUGAAUGACUGAGAAAUGUGGGUUUUGCCUCUGGAUUCAAUUCUGUCAUUUCUGACCUUGCUGGUUCCCUGCCUUCUUCUACCUCCUCGUUCUGGGCAUGUGCUUUCUUUCAUGAGGGCUAUAGGCCUAUAUAUAGCACAAGGUUCAAAAUCAGUUACCAUGCAGGAAGUUUUGCCACCUGUUCUUUACAAAACUGAACUUUAUAGUUCAGCUUUCCAUCUUACGAAAUUUAUAACUUUCUAGCUUGUGAAAUGAAACACCUAAGACCUGCUGUAAAACACACCCCUUUGAAAAGGCUAUUUGUUUCUGACAAUAAAUAUGAUAAACAUACAUGGAAUAAACGUCAAAUAGAUCAAAGUGCUAGAUUCAGAAAACAAUUAUUUCUUCUUCCCUGAACUCCUCUCUUCCCAUUUUAAUGAACAAGCAGCAUACACACACACACACACACACACAGAGAGAGAGAGAGAGAGAGAGAGAUCUUUGUUGUUUCAUAAAAAUUACAGCAUCAGAUAUACCCUGUUGUGUACCUGGCUUUCUUCACAUAUAAUAUAUGUUGAAGACAUUAAAUAUCAGCACAUGUUGCUUACGAAAUUCUUUUAGGUGACCCCUAGAAUUCUAUUGUAUAUUAUGCUAGAGUUUACUUAACUAGACCUAUAUAAAUGGGCACAUGAUGCUACCACAAAUAUUCUUGUAGCAUAUAUUUUUAGGUGUUCAAGUACAUACACUCCUAAACGUAGACUUCCUGGGUCAAAAAGUAUAAGCACUUAAAAUUUUGGAAGAUAUUGCCAACAAAAGGGAUGAUGCCAGUUGUGAGGGACAGUGCCUGAGAAUGUGGGUUUUUCAACACUCACACAGUUACAGUUUCAAGUUUGUUUGUGUUCAUUUCUGAUUACUAAUCAUCAGGGAUUUGGGGCAACUUCAGAUUUAGUUCCUCUUCCUGUGCAAUGUAGCGAACACCUGAGUGAAUAAAACCUCAAGGAAAUCCAUAGACCUUUACUUCUGCUACAUCACUUCGUUGUGAACAUUCUCAUUUUUCACCUUAUCUUUCUGCAGGUCAGAUGCUUGGCUACAAACAUCUAGCACUCUGGUAUAUUUGAAGGGAAGAAGAUAACACCUGCACAAGAAACUACCCAGGUCUUCCUACCACACCCUGUUGCUGUGAUAUGAUUUAGGGCAAGUUACUAACAUUUUAGAAUUUCUAUUUUCUCAUCUGUAAAAUGGGUACAGUGCAAUGUCUACUCAUCGGGUUGCAGUGGGGAUUAAUUGAGAUAAUAUACACACCUAGAACAGGCUAGACACUCAACAUAUGGUAAUAUCGUGAUUGCAGAUUUAUUUGUGCAUAGUUAUACUGCAUUGAGGCUUGAAAAACAGCAUAUUCUGACAUUCAUUCAUGCCACAAAUAUUAAGGACCCACCAUGGGCCAGGUACUGUGUUGAGUAUGGAGGGCACAGAAUAAAUGGGUUUUAAGGAAUCCCUGUAUAGCACAGCACUUAAGGGCACUUUGCGGUCAGGUGGGCCAGGGUGGGCUUUACUAUUUGGUCAAAUAAUAAAGAUUCUCUGAAGGACAAGUUCCUCAUCUGUCGAACAGGCUGAAAAAUAUCUGUGGGCGUUGUUAUUGAAUCCUUUGAGAGUUGAAUCAGGUAAUGUAUACAGAGAACUUAGCUGAAUGCCUGGCCCCUAGCAAGUACUCAACAAAUAAGCACUAAUACUGUAGUGGUGAUGUAGCAAACAGGGGGAAUCACAUGAAUUGGAGUAGUUUUUAGGAAGGCUUUGAAAAGACGGUGACACUACAGCACGGUGUUAAGGGCAAGCAAGGUUUGCAAAAAGGAGGAACAGCAUUUAAGCAGAACUUUAGGGAGAAAAACAGGGUGGAUUUGGGGACACCUGGGGACAAGAGGCAUGACUAUCUCCAGAUCACAGAGCUGGUUAGUAAAUACACUGGUUCUAGAAUAAAUAUUACACGUGUUCUUUUUUUGGCCAACUUCAUUAGUCGUUUUAAAAUCAUUCAAUUUUUUAAAAAAUCACAUUUUAGUCAUGCUUGGUGGGUCAUGCCUGUAAUCCCAGCACUUUGAGAGGCUGAGGUGGGUAGAUCACUUGAGGUCAAGAGUUGGGGACUAGCCUGGCCCACAUGGUGAAAUCAGGACUCUACUGAAAAUACAAAAGUAGCUAUAACCCCAGCUACUCGGGAGGCUGAAGCAGGAGAAUCACUUGAGCUUGGGAGGUGGAGGUUGCAAUAAACUGAAACUGCCCCUCUGCACUUCAGCUGGGUGACAGAGGGAGACUGUCUAAAAACACAAAACAAAACAGCAAAAACAUUUUAAAAAGUGGAAAUAGAGAAAAGAAGAAAAAUGCUCCCCCUCAUAGCCCAACUACCAUUGACAUUUUGGUGGUAUCUUUCCUUUUUAGCCUAAUCUUUGAUAGCUUUAAAAAUGAUUACAAAAUAUUAUAUUCAUUUUCUAGAUAUAUAUAAGGAAAUAUAUAAUUAAAUAUAUAUUUCCUUUUCAUAUUUUAGUCCAGGGAUCGAAUAUUGAGUGAGACCUUCCUUGGUUCUUUAUCCAAAAUUGCGACCCUCCCCCUAGUCCUUUUCCUGCUCCCUGCUGAGUUCCUUUCUUACCCCCCAUCACCUCACGUGUGCUAUGGUUUACUUAUCUUGUCUAUUAUAUGUCUAUUCCCCUUUAAAACAUAAGCUUCUGGGGACUGAAUUUGCUUAACUGCUGUAUAUCCAGUACCUAAAACAGUGCAUGGUGCUCAGUAAAUAUUUAGUGUAUGAAUGGAUGAAUAAGGGGAUGGAAGUAAAAAGAAUUGCGUCAAAGUGUGAUACUCAUCAACAAAUAGUUGUGCAGUGCCCUCUAAGUAACAGAGACUUAAGGACGUACCUGAUACAAAGAUUGGUUUCCUUCUACAGUCUAGUAGGGGAUGGAGGUGAGGUAGCAAAACUGUCCCCAAAAUCAGAAAGUAUAGGAUGCAUAUGGUUAUCCAUGAUAUGAGCUUGUAAGGCAGACAUGAAGGCCUGUAAAAGAUGUCUUGAAUUUGGAGUGUCUAAGCUGUCAUCUGAAGGUUAAGGAAUAGUAACUGGGUGAAGGAGGUGGGGCAGCAGGAGAGCUAAAAGGUGAGAUCUGUUGAGCUUCAGUCAGACCUAAGGGAGGAUGUGGCUGAGAAGUUGACUUCUCAUGAACCCCUAUCUUUACUCUGAUUAAAUAAACAAGGAAGCCUAGAAGGAAGAGCAGGAACCCGAGUGAAUUAAAAGCAUUUUGAGGCAUCCUGCCAAGUUCUAUUUAUACUUAUUUCAUUAAAAAUACAGAAAGAGGGCCAGGCAUGGUGGCUCACGCCUGUAAUCCCAGCACUUUGGGAGCUCAAGGCAGGCAGAUAACAAGGCCAAGAGAUUGAGACCAUCUUGACCAACAUGGUGAAACCCUGUCUCUACUAAAAAUACAAAAAUUACCUGGGUGAGGUAUCGCACCACUGCACUCCAGCCUGGGCAACAAGAGCAAAACUCCAUCUCAAAAUAAAAAAAAAGAAAUACAGAAAGAGUAGUAAAUACAAGCUGCAGCCUUGCUUGGUUUAUGAUGUGGGAGGAGAAAUCAUGCAGCUGUCUUACAUGAAUCUGUUAGAAAGAAGUAGGUCACAGGUGUGAUCUGUGUGGCAUCAAUGAGCAUGCUUUUCUUUUGUUUUUGAUAUUCAGCAUUUAUCCAUUCUUUUUUGUGAUGAUAUUUUGACUUGAGGAGGCACAAAAUAUACGAAGGAGACAAAGAUCUCCCUGAAGAAAACAGGUCAACUCUGAGCUUCCUGGUGACUCUCAAAGCCUUGUGAGAGGAGCAGUGUGUAGAAAAGGAGAGAACAAUCCCUGGACCAACCAAAGCCCACAAGCUGCUGCAUCCCGCACCCAAUGCCUACGUCCCACCGCCGGUGCCAGCAAGCCCGAGAGAAUGGCUGAAGGGGAUGCUGAAGAAGAUAAGACCAAGGUGAAGGAUGAACCGCAUGGCAGAUCUGCAAGUUGUCUGCCAACCAUGCCCCUCCAAAGCCAGAGCCGAAGCCUAAAAAGGCCCCUGCAAAGAAGGGAGAGAAGUAGAGACGGAGUUUCACCAUAUUGGCCAGGCUGGUCUCGAGCUCCUGACCUCGAAUGAUCUGCCCACCUCGGCCUCCCAAAGCGUUGGGAUUACAGGCAUGAGCCACCAUGCCCAGCCCCCUUCUAUUUUGGAAAGACUUCCACUUGGUUCCCAGGAGGAGGGAUUCCCUGACUUUGACCACAUGGUCACCUUGGCACGAAAGCCUUAUGCAAACGCGCAAAAGAUGCUGUUGGCUUGUUGACAGGUGAUUUUAUCUGGUGAAUCCGAUGAAGACCCUGGAUCUGUUGGUGAAUGUCCAGCCUGUUGUUGCUGAGUUCGAACCAUGGGAGAGGCAGUUGUUUAUUCUGCAGGCAUCGCUUGAGUGCCAGCCACAUGCUGGGCAUGGCUCUGGUGCUAGGGACAGAGAACUUGGUAUUUCUGGUGAACAAAAGCAAGCAAUUGCCCUGUGGACAUGGAGCUGACCUGGUGGGGGAACUGAAGACAGACGGCACCCUCAUGUCUAGAGGCUUUCCCAGGGAAAUUGGCUGCUUUUGGCUUGAUGUACACUCACAUGUCUUGCAGCAAGCCUGAGCCACAGGGAGAUUACAUAAGAUGCUCAGGCUCAAAGAGCUAGUGGGGGUGGAGAGCUGGUAUUGGAGUCUGGGCUCUGGCGAUUUGGGAGACGAGAUAUGGCCUGGCAGGAACCAUGUGUACACGGUGAAGUAGAAAGAAUAGUAUAGAAAAAUAUAUCUUUACUUAAAUGGAAAAAAUACAUAUAUAUAUUCAUGGAAAAUAUACAUAUUUUCAGUGGAAAAAAAUAUAUAUAUAUUCAUUUAAGUAAAAUCGGAGUAAAGAUAGGAGCUCAUGAGAAGUCAACUUCUCAGCCACAUCCUCCCUUAGGUCUGACCGCAGCUUAACAGAUCUGGUGACUUUUUAGCUCUCCCACUGCCCCGCCUCUUUCACCCAGUUACUAUUCCUUAACCUUCAGGUAACAGCUUAGACACUCCAAAUCUGAGACAUGUUUUACAGGCCUUCACAUCUGAAUUACAAGCUCAUAUCAUGGACAACCAUAUGCAUUCUAUACUUUCUGAUUUUUUGGUACAAUUUUGCCACCCCAUCUCCAUCCCCUAUUAGAUUGUAGAAGGAAACCAAACAAUCUUAGUCUCAGGUGCAUCCUCAGUGGCUAGUAAGUCCCUGGUGCUUAGAAGGCACUGUAUAACUAUUUGUUGAUGAGCAUCACACUUUAAUGCAAUUCUUUUUACUUCCAUCCUCUUAUUCAUCCAUUCAUGCAUUAAAUAUUUACUGAGCUGUUUUAGGUUCUGGCUUUAUAGCAGUUAAGCAAAUUCAGUCCCCAGAAGUUUAUAUUUUAAAGUGAAAUAGAUGUAUAAUAGACAAGGUAAGUAAACCACAGCUCAUGUGAGGUGGAACUCAGCAAGCAAUAGGAUUGGGACUGUGGGGAGGGCUGGAAUUCUGAACAAAGGACCAAGGAAGGUCUCACACAGAGGGUGGCACUUGGGUAAGAGUCUGCAUAAGGUGAGGUGAAAGCUGGAGGAACAGGGCUCCAGACAGAGAAGAGCGAUUGCAAAGGCCCUAAGGCAGAAGCAAGCCUGGUGUGUUCAGAGAACAGCAGAGGUCCAUGGUACAGGAAGAAUAAGGAGCAAAUAAGUGGGAGAUGAAAAUAGAGAUGUAAUUAAUUGUAUGUGCCUCAGGGACCCAGAGAUAGCUGGACACUAGUAUAGAGAAGUGACAUCUCCUGACAUGUUUUAUCAGGCUCACUCUGGCUGUGUGUUGAAUGGAAAUGGAAGUGGGUGCGGAUAGAAACAAUGAGGCCAUUUUGGAAGCCAUGGUGCCAUAUUCCAGACAAGAGAUGAUGGUGCCUUAAACUAGGUUGGCAUCAGCAGAUGCAAUUAAAUUCUAAAUAUAUUUUAAAGAUACAGCAGACAGGAUUUGCCGAUGGAGUAAAGAGAUAAUGAGAGCGGUCAGAAAUAACUCCACGAUUUUUGGCUUGAGCAACUUGUCAUUUACAGAGUAGAGAAAGACUAUGAGAGGAGAAUUCAUUUGGGGUAUGUUGAGCUUAAGAUGCCUGUUACGUGUCUAAGUGAAAAUGUUGAGACAAACACCAUACCACACCCCACAAAAGUUAACUUAUUCGAUCCUCAUAAGAACCCCCACCAUGAGGUAGGUGGUAUUCUUGACACCAUCUUACAGGAAAGAGACUGAGGCCUGAGGCCCAGAGAGGAAGAGUGACUUUUCCAAGUUUACCUAGCUGGUUGGUGGUGGAAGUGGAGAACUGGGAUUCAAGCCUAAGCAAUGAGACUCUGGAAUUCAUGCUCACUUUGCAAAACACACACACACACACACACACACGCACACACACACUCACUCCCCACCUCAUUCUAGUCACUUAAGAAAUUCCUUGCCCUAGGUCCUCAUUGAGCCCAUUUGUGAGCCAGUCACUGUGGGUGCUCUGAUUACAAUGGGUCUGAGCACUGUUGGUGCUCUGAUUAGAAUGGGUCUGAGUCACUUUCUGCGGGCCUGAUCUUGGGAGUGGAGCCCCAUAUGGGUGAGAGUAAAGCAAUGGGCAGCUCUCCAGAGGAAACUCAGGGUGUCAUCACCAGAAACAGGACAAAUAGAUGCUGGGAAAAAAAAAAAAUAUAUAUAUAUAUAUAUAUCUUAAAACCUAUUCUGAUACCAAAUUUAGCCCAUCAUACAUGGACAAAGUUUAUAUAUGAGCCAAUCCUUAUAUGCAUUUCAAACACACCCAGAACACCAACUUGUGCCAACAUUUUCUCAACAGAUUUUCUAAUAAGAUGUUUACUUGAUUCCCUGCGACAAUUAUACUUUCCAUUCUUAUACUCUAACACAAAGAGGCUGAAGGUCAAAUAUCUCAGCUGAGGGGAGGAACACAUUCUUGAAUAUUUAAGAAGCAGCUGUGAAAUGCUUUCUCAAUGCAGCAUUUUUCAGAGCCAGCUAAAAACAAAAGCAAACAAAAAUUCCAAAAGAAAGCCCAAAUAUAAUUCAUUGAAAGUAGGAAUGCUAAAUAUCAUUCACUGAUUUUUUUAAUCUUACUUUAUUUUUUAGAGAAGCUUUACGUUUACAGCAAAAUCCAGCAGAAAAUACAGAGUGUUCUCAUAUGCUCCCUUCUCCCUACACAUGCACAGUCUCCCCCACUAUCCACAUCCCACCCAGAGGGAUACAUUUGUUAAUAACAAUGAGCCAACAUGGACAUGUCAUUAUCACCCAAAGCCCGUAGUUUACAUUAGUGCUCACUCUUGAUGUUGUACAUUCUAGAGGUUUUGACAAAGGUAGAGUGAUGUCCACACACCAUUAUAGUAUUAUACAGAACAGUUUAACUGCUCAUUCAUCUCUUCCUCUCUGCAACCUCAGACUCAGAUUGGAUUCAUUCACCUAGCAAUAUGCAUUUAAGAUUCCUCCAUGUCUUUUCACAGCCUGAUAACUCAUUUCUUUUUAGCACUGAAUAGCAUUCAUUUGUCUGGAUGUAACAUAAUUUAUCUAUUUACCAAUGGAAGAAUGUCUUGGUUAUUUUGUUUUGUUUUCUGAGAGUAAAUUUUCUCACUCUAACAAAUUGCAAAAUUCUGCCUAUUAAUAUUUUACUAAAUAGUAAUCAAAGCAAAGUUCAAAUGUAUAUUUCAGAAAGACAUUCCUUCAUAAAAAGUAAUAAGCUCUACAAAUAAUUUUUCAGGUUGUAAUAACAAUUGUGUGGCUACAUAUAAUUUUGAAAAAUAAGAGUACAGAGAAAAAAUGAAACUAUUUGUAACUUCA
Long non-coding RNA from Callithrix jacchus (white-tufted-ear marmoset), 13327 nucleotides. RefSeq lists it as uncharacterized. NCBI's taxonomy places the organism in Eukaryota, Metazoa, Chordata, Mammalia, Primates, Cebidae. The record is from RefSeq and is a predicted model, not a curated record.